GGAAAAGUUUACUUAAGAGCUGUUUUUUAAAUUAUUACUAACUUGUUUCAAACAACACUCUCAUACUCCAGAUAAUUCAAUUUUCAUCUCUUUGGAGCUGAGCAAACCAGAUGAAAUUAUAUGAAUCCCAGUUUAUUUCAUUUUGUUGUAGAGUUCAACAAUUUUUAUGAAUUUCUAAUCCAACCUCAUCAUCCUAUGGGAAACAGAAGACCACCAAGAACAGCCAGCUGAGACAGAAUUUCACUGUGUUGCCCAAGCCAAUCUUAAACUCCUGGUCUCAAGCGAUCCUCCUGCCUUGGCCUCCCACUGUGCCUGGCCUAUGGACUCUGAAUUUUUUUAAAAGACUGGAAAAAACUUUUAUAAGAGAAUUGG
Molecule: long non-coding RNA, 372 nt
Filed under: Homo sapiens (human)
Lineage: Eukaryota; Metazoa; Chordata; Mammalia; Primates; Hominidae
Description: non-protein coding lnc-SLC25A32-3:5
Source: RNAcentral